RNAcentral lists this long non-coding RNA (532 nucleotides) under Bos taurus (domestic cattle). Its description in RNAcentral is "long non-coding RNA NONBTAT012786". The record is from RNAcentral. Lineage: Eukaryota; Metazoa; Chordata; Mammalia; Artiodactyla; Bovidae.
CCUUUUCCCUCUCUCUUGUCCUGGUUUGAAGGAAGCUCAGUGUGUGGGAGCUUGCAAUUUUUGUUCUUACUGAGGCUUUGCAGUACCCACACCACCAUCAUACAUCACUGUGUUGUGGUUUGAUUUUAAAAGGGGGUGGUGGGUAAGGGGAUGUGAAAGAAAAGGGAUCAUUUUGUAAAGUGUAUUAAACUUUGAUACUCAGUUCCAGUCAAUACAUGUAGACCAGAAAAAUCUGUCUGAUUUGUGCAUCUGAGCGGAGUUCUCCAUCUGACCCUCAGCUUCUUUCUGUAGAUACAUACAUACAUAAAUCUAAGUAUGUUCUUAUGACAGAACAUUGCUGACCUCUAGAUUGAGGUUCGUAGGUUGUUGUUUAUUUUCUCCUCCUGCAAGUGCUAUCCAUGUGAGUGUGUGAAGUUUUCUCUAAUAAGUAAAACACAGGCCCUUUGCCUUGUUUGUUUUGUUAGUUUAUUGUAAACAGCCAUUUGUUGUAAAUUAUUAUUGGCAUUAAAUUAUAAUUUAUGAUUUUCAAAGC